Molecule: ribosomal RNA, 2928 nt
Filed under: Bacillus amyloliquefaciens CC178
Lineage: Bacteria; Bacillati; Bacillota; Bacilli; Caryophanales; Bacillaceae
Description: bacterial LSU rRNA
Rfam family: Bacterial large subunit ribosomal RNA
Source: RNAcentral
UUAAGUUAGAAAGGGCGCACGGUGGAUGCCUUGGCACUAGGAGCCGAUGAAGGACGGGACGAACACCGAUAUGCUUCGGGGAGCUGUAAGCAAGCUUUGAUCCGGAGAUUUCCGAAUGGGGAAACCCACCACUCGUAAUGGAGUGGUAUCCAUAUCUGAAUACAUAGGAUAUGAGAAGGCAGACCCGGGGAACUGAAACAUCUAAGUACCCGGAGGAAGAGAAAGCAAAUGCGAUUCCCUGAGUAGCGGCGAGCGAAACGGGACCAGCCCAAACCAAGAGGCUUGCCUCUUGGGGUUGUAGGACACUCUGUACGGAGUUACAAAGGAACGAGGUAGAUGAAGAGGUCUGGAAAGGCCCGCCAUAGGAGGUAACAGCCCUGUAGUCAAAACUUCGUUCUCUCCUGAGUGGAUCCUGAGUACGGCGGAACACGUGAAAUUCCGUCGGAAUCCGGGAGGACCAUCUCCCAAGGCUAAAUACUCCCUAGUGACCGAUAGUGAACCAGUACCGUGAGGGAAAGGUGAAAAGCACCCCGGAAGGGGAGUGAAAGAGAUCCUGAAACCGUGUGCCUACAAGUAGUCAGAGCCCGUUAACGGGUGAUGGCGUGCCUUUUGUAGAAUGAACCGGCGAGUUACGAUCCCGUGCAAGGUUAAGCAGAAGAUGCGGAGCCGCAGCGAAAGCGAGUCUGAAUAGGGCGAAUUGAGUACGUGGUCGUAGACCCGAAACCAGGUGAUCUACCCAUGUCCAGGGUGAAGUUCAGGUAACACUGAAUGGAGGCCCGAACCCACGCACGUUGAAAAGUGCGGGGAUGAGGUGUGGGUAGGGGUGAAAUGCCAAUCGAACCUGGAGAUAGCUGGUUCUCUCCGAAAUAGCUUUAGGGCUAGCCUCAAGGUAAGAGUCUCGGAGGUAGAGCACUGAUUGGACUAGGGGCCCCUACCGGGUUACCGAAUUCAGUCAAACUCCGAAUGCCGACGACUUAUCCUUGGGAGUCAGACUGCGAGUGAUAAGAUCCGUAGUCGAAAGGGAAACAGCCCAGACCGCCAGCUAAGGUCCCAAAGUAUACGUUAAGUGGAAAAGGAUGUGGAGUUGCUUAGACAACCAGGAUGUUGGCUUAGAAGCAGCCACCAUUUAAAGAGUGCGUAAUAGCUCACUGGUCGAGUGACUCUGCGCCGAAAAUGUACCGGGGCUAAACGUAUCACCGAAGCUGCGGACUGUUCUUCGAACAGUGGUAGGAGAGCGUUCUAAGGGCUGUGAAGCAAGACCGGAAGGACUUGUGGAGCGCUUAGAAGUGAGAAUGCCGGUAUGAGUAGCGAAAGAGGGGUGAGAAUCCCCUCCACCGAAUGCCUAAGGUUUCCUGAGGAAGGCUCGUCCGCUCAGGGUUAGUCGGGACCUAAGCCGAGGCCGAAAGGCGUAGGCGAUGGACAACAGGUUGAUAUUCCUGUACCACCUCCUCACCAUUUGAGCAAUGGGGGGACGCAGGAGGAUAGGGUAAGCGCGGUAUUGGAUAUCCGCGUCCAAGCAGUUAGGCUGGGAAAUAGGCAAAUCCGUUUCCCGUGAAGGCUGAGCUGUGAUGGCGAGCGAAUUAUAGUAGCGAAGUUCCUGAUUCCACACUGCCAAGAAAAGCCUCUAGCGAGGUGAGAGGUGCCCGUACCGCAAACCGACACAGGUAGGCGAGGAGAGAAUCCUAAGGUGAUCGAGAGAACUCUCGUUAAGGAACUCGGCAAAAUGACCCCGUAACUUCGGGAGAAGGGGUGCUCUGUUAGGGUGCAAGCCCGAGAGAGCCGCAGUGAAUAGGCCCAGGCGACUGUUUAGCAAAAACACAGGUCUCUGCGAAGCCGUAAGGCGAAGUAUAGGGGCUGACGCCUGCCCGGUGCUGGAAGGUUAAGAGGAGCGCUUAGCGUAAGCGAAGGUGCGAAUUGAAGCCCCAGUAAACGGCGGCCGUAACUAUAACGGUCCUAAGGUAGCGAAAUUCCUUGUCGGGUAAGUUCCGACCCGCACGAAAGGCGCAACGAUCUGGGCACUGUCUCAACGAGAGACUCGGUGAAAUUAUAGUACCUGUGAAGAUGCAGGUUACCCGCGACAGGACGGAAAGACCCCGUGGAGCUUUACUGCAGCCUGAUAUUGAAUGUUGGUACAGCUUGUACAGGAUAGGUAGGAGCCUUGGAAACCGGAGCGCCAGCUUCGGUGGAGGCAUCGGUGGGAUACUACCCUGGCUGUAUUGACCUUCUAACCCGCCGCCCUUAUCGGGCGGGGAGACAGUGUCAGGUGGGCAGUUUGACUGGGGCGGUCGCCUCCUAAAAGGUAACGGAGGCGCCCAAAGGUUCCCUCAGAAUGGUUGGAAAUCAUUCGCAGAGUGUAAAGGCACAAGGGAGCUUGACUGCGAGACCUACAAGUCGAGCAGGGACGAAAGUCGGGCUUAGUGAUCCGGUGGUUCCGCAUGGAAGGGCCAUCGCUCAACGGAUAAAAGCUACCCCGGGGAUAACAGGCUUAUCUCCCCCAAGAGUCCACAUCGACGGGGAGGUUUGGCACCUCGAUGUCGGCUCAUCGCAUCCUGGGGCUGUAGUCGGUCCCAAGGGUUGGGCUGUUCGCCCAUUAAAGCGGUACGCGAGCUGGGUUCAGAACGUCGUGAGACAGUUCGGUCCCUAUCCGUCGCGGGCGCAGGAAAUUUGAGAGGAGCUGUCCUUAGUACGAGAGGACCGGGAUGGACGCACCGCUGGUGUACCAGUUGUUCUGCCAAGGGCAUCGCUGGGUAGCUAUGUGCGGACGGGAUAAGUGCUGAAAGCAUCUAAGCAUGAAGCCCCCCUCAAGAUGAGAUUUCCCAUUCCGCAAGGAAGUAAGAUCCCUGAAAGAUGAUCAGGUUGAUAGGUCUGAGGUGGAAGUGUGGCGACACAUGGAGCUGACAGAUACUAAUCGAUCGAGGACUUAACCAA